RNAcentral lists this ribosomal RNA (254 nucleotides) under uncultured bacterium. Its description in RNAcentral is "partial 16S ribosomal RNA". It matches the Rfam family "Bacterial small subunit ribosomal RNA", at positions 524 to 776 of the family's 1533-position model. The record is from RNAcentral.
UACGUAGGCAGCGAGCGUUGUUCGGAGUUACUGGGCGUAAAGGGUGUGUAGGCGGUUGUUUAAGUUUGGUGUGAAAUCUCCCGGCUCAACUGGGAGGGUGCGCCGAAUACUGAAUGACUUGGAGUGCGGGAGAGGAGAGUGGAAUUCCUGGUGUAGCGGUGAAAUGCGUAGAUAUCAGGAGGAACACCGGUGGUGUAGACGGCUCUCUGGGCAGUAACUGACGCUGAGGAGCGAAAGCGUGGGGAGCGAACAGG